Molecule: transfer RNA, 98 nt
Filed under: bacterium
Lineage: Bacteria
Also listed under: 2 other names
Description: tRNA-Sec
Rfam family: Selenocysteine transfer RNA
Source: RNAcentral
GGAAGCGAAUCGGGGCUGGUGUCCCGCGCGGACUUCAAAUCCGUUGCUCCGUGCCGAGAGGUACGGAGGGUGGGUUCGAUUCCCACACGCUUCCGCCA